UUCCCCGGUAGCUCAGUGGUAGAGCAACCGGCUGUUAACCGGUUGGUCGCUGGUUCGAAUCCGGCCCGGGGAGCCAU
RNAcentral lists this transfer RNA (77 nucleotides) under Bartonella quintana str. Toulouse. Its description in RNAcentral is "tRNA-Asn". It matches the Rfam family "tRNA". From Rfam's summary of the family: Transfer RNA (tRNA) molecules are approximately 80 nucleotides in length. Their secondary structure includes four short double-helical elements and three loops (D, anti-codon, and T loops). Further hydrogen bonds mediate the characteristic L-shaped molecular structure. tRNAs have two regions of fundamental functional importance: the anti-codon, which is responsible for specific mRNA codon recognition, and the 3' end, to which the tRNAs corresponding amino acid is attached (by aminoacyl-tRNA synthetases). tRNAs cope with the degeneracy of the genetic code in two manners: having more than one tRNA (with a specific anti-codon) for a particular amino acid; and 'wobble' base-pairing, i.e. permitting non-standard base-pairing at the 3rd anti-codon position. Lineage: Bacteria; Pseudomonadati; Pseudomonadota; Alphaproteobacteria; Hyphomicrobiales; Bartonellaceae. The record is from RNAcentral.